GACGAACGCUGGCGGCGCGCCUAACACAUGCAAGUCGAACGGAGCUGAGAGGAGCUUGCUUUUCUCAGCUUAGUGGCGAACGGGUGAGUAACGCGUGAGUAACCUGCCCUGGAGUGGGGGACAACAGUUGGAAACGACUGCUAAUACCGCAUAAGCCCACGGCCCGGCAUCGGGCUGCGGGAAAAGGAUUUAUUCGCUUCAGGAUGGACUCGCGUCCAAUUAGCUAGUUGGUGAGGUAACGGCCCACCAAGGCGACGAUUGGUAGCCGGACUGAGAGGUUGAACGGCCACAUUGGGACUGAGACACGGCCCAGACUCCUACGGGAGGCAGCAGUGGGGGAUAUUGCACAAUGGGGGAAACCCUGAUGCAGCGACGCCGCGUGGAGGAAGAAGGUUUUCGGAUUGUAAACUCCUGUCGUUAGGGACGAUAAUGACGGUACCUAACAAGAAAGCACCGGCU
RNAcentral lists this ribosomal RNA (459 nucleotides) under uncultured bacterium. Its description in RNAcentral is "bacterial SSU rRNA". It matches the Rfam family "Bacterial small subunit ribosomal RNA", at positions 28 to 498 of the family's 1533-position model. The record is from RNAcentral.